Molecule: ribosomal RNA, 637 nt
Filed under: uncultured bacterium
Lineage: Bacteria
Description: bacterial SSU rRNA
Rfam family: Bacterial small subunit ribosomal RNA
Source: RNAcentral
CGCGGCCUAUCAGCUUGUUGGUGGGGUAACGGCCUACCAAGGCAACGACGGGUAGCUGGUCUGAGAGGACGAUCAGCCACACUGGGACUGAGACACGGCCCAGACUCCUACGGGAGGUAGCAGUAGGGAAUCUUGCGCAAUGGGCGAAAGCCUGACGCAGCGACGCCGCGUGCGGGAUGAAGGCCUUCGGGUCGUAAACCGCUUUCAGCAGGGACGAAAUUGACGGUACCUGCAGAAGAAGGCCCGGCCAACUACGUGCCAGCAGCCGCGGUGAUACGUAGGGGUCUAGCGUUGUCCGGAAUCAUUGGGCGUAAAGAGCUCGUAGGCGGUUCGGCAAGUCGGAUGUGAAAUCUCCACGCUCAACGUGGAGGGGCCAUUCGAAACUGCCGUGACUCGAGUCCGGUAGGGGAGUUCGGAAUUCCCGGUGUAGCGGUGAAAUGCGCAGAUAUCGGGAGGAACACCAGUGGCGAAGGCGGAACUCUGGGCCGGAACUGACGCUGAGGAGCGAAAGCGUGGGGAGCGAACAGGAUUAGAUACCCUGGUAGUCCACGCCGUAAACGUUGGGCACUAGGUGUGGGACUCUAUCGACGGGUUCCGUGCCGUAGCUAACGCAUUAAGUGCCCCGCCUGGGGGAGUA